GGACGAACGCUGGCGGCGUGCUUACCACAUGCAAGUCGAACGGAAAGGCCCUGCUUUUGUGGGGUGCUCGAGUGGCGAACGGGUGAGUAACACGUGAGUAACCUGCCCUUGACUUUGGGAUAACUUCAGGAAACUGGGGCUAAUACCGGAUAGGAGCUCCUGCUGCAUGGUGGGGGUUGGAAAGUUUCGGCGGUUGGGGAUGGACUCGCGGCUUAUCAGCUUGUUGGUGGGGUAGUGGCUUACCAAGGCUUUGACGGGUAGCCGGCCUGAGAGGGUGACCGGCCACAUUGGGACUGAGAUACGGCCCAGACUCCUACGGGAGGCAGCAGUGGGGAAUAUUGCACAAUGGGCGGAAGCCUGAUGCAGCAAUGCCGCGUGCGGGAUGACGGCCUUCGGGUUGUAAACCGCUUUCGCCUGUGACGAAGCGUGAGUGACGGUAAUGGGUAAAGAAGCACCGGCUAACUACGUG
This 469-nucleotide ribosomal RNA is filed under the name uncultured bacterium. RNAcentral describes it as "partial 16S ribosomal RNA". It matches the Rfam family "Bacterial small subunit ribosomal RNA", at positions 27 to 507 of the family's 1533-position model. The record is from RNAcentral.